AGUGAACGCUGGCGGUAGGCCUAACACAUGCAAGUCGAACGGCAGCACAGAGGAGCUUGCUCCUUGGGUGGCGAGUGGCGGACGGGUGAGGAAUACAUCGGAAUCUACUCUGUCGUGGGGGAUAACGUAGGGAAACUUACGCUAAUACCGCAUACGACCUACGGGUGAAAGCAGGGGACCUUCGGGCCUUGCGCGAUUGAAUGAGCCGAUGCCGGAUUAGCUAGUUGGCGGGGUAAAGGCCCACCAAGGCGACGAUCCGUAGCUGGUCUGAGAGGAUGAUCAGCCACACUGGAACUGCGACACGGUCCAGACUCCUACGGGAGGCAGCAGUGGGGAAUAUUGGACAAUGGGCGCAAGCCUGAUCCAGCCAUACCGCGUGGGUGAAGAAGGCCUUCGGGUUGUAAAGCCCUUUUGUUGGGAAAGAAAUCCAGCUGGCUAAUACCCGGUUGGGAUGACGGUACCCAAAGAAUAAGCACCGGCUAACUUCGUGCCAGCCGCCGCGGUAA
This 506-nucleotide ribosomal RNA is filed under the name uncultured bacterium. RNAcentral's name for it is "partial 16S ribosomal RNA". It matches the Rfam family "Bacterial small subunit ribosomal RNA", at positions 29 to 523 of the family's 1533-position model. The record is from RNAcentral.